CUACGGGCCGCAGCAGUGGGGAAUAUUGGACAAUGGGGGAAACCCUGAUCCAGCAAUGCCGCGUGUGUGAAGAAGGCCUGCGGGUUGUAAAGCACUUUCGGUUGGGAGGACUGCUUCUAGCACUAAUAUUGUUGGAAGUUGACGUUACCUUCAGAAGAAGCACCGGCUAACUCCGUGCCAGCAGCCGCAGUAAUACGGAGGGUGCAAGCGUUAAUCGGAAUUACUGGGCGUAAAGCGCGCGUAGGCGGCUAGAUCAGUCGGGUGUGAAAGCCCCGGGCUUAACCUGGGAACCGCAUCCGAUACUGUCUAGCUUGAGUACAGGAGAGGAGAGUGGAAUUCCACAUGUAGCGGUGAAAUGCGUAGAUAUGUGGAGGAACACCAAUGGCGAAGGCAGCUCUCUGGCCUGAUACUGACGCUGAGGUGCGAAAGCGUGGGGAGCAAACAGGAUUAGAUACCCCAGUAGUC
This 465-nucleotide ribosomal RNA is filed under the name uncultured bacterium. RNAcentral describes it as "partial 16S ribosomal RNA". It matches the Rfam family "Bacterial small subunit ribosomal RNA", at positions 339 to 795 of the family's 1533-position model. The record is from RNAcentral.